GACGAACGCUGGCGGCGUGCCUAAUACAUGCAAGUAGAACGCACAGUUUAUACCGUAGCUUGCUACACCAUAGACUGUGAGUUGCGAACGGGUGAGUAACGCGUAGGUAACCUGCCUGGUAGCGGGGGAUAACUAUUGGAAACGAUAGCUAAUACCGCAUAAUAUUGAUUAUUGCAUGAUAAUUGAUUGAAAGAUGCUAUUGCAUCACUACCAGAUGGACCUGCGUUGUAUUAGCUAGUAGGUGAGGUAACGGCUCACCUAGGCGACGAUACAUAGCCGACCUGAGAGGGUGAUCGGCCACACUGGGACUGAGACACGGCCCAGACUCCUACGGGAGGCAGCAGUAGGGAAUCUUCGGCAAUGGACGAAAGGCUGACCGAGCAACGCCGCGUGAGGGAAGAAGGUUUUCGGAUCGUAAAGCUCUGUUGUAAGGGAAGAACGGGUGUGAGAGUGGAAAGUUCACACUGUGACGGUAUCUUACCAGAAAGGGACGGCUAACUACGUG
Molecule: ribosomal RNA, 505 nt
Filed under: uncultured bacterium
Lineage: Bacteria
Description: partial 16S ribosomal RNA
Rfam family: Bacterial small subunit ribosomal RNA
Source: RNAcentral